UGAAACCGUUUAGGGGUAAACCUGAGAAACCCGAAAGGUCGAAGGAAGAAAUUCAAUCGCGUUUCGAAGCAAACUUUAGAUGAUGUUGUGUGACGUAUACUUUAUUCAUAAAGAGAACGCACCCAUUGUCUAUUUGAUUUUGUUACGAACGCGUGCACUUUUCUUCUGGUAGGACGUUGCGAUCUGUUGAGUGUCGGUCUACGACUUUUGAUGCUGACCAUUUGUCAUUCUUCAAACGAAUGUACGAAUGAACUCAAUUGUUCUGGCCGACUUGCUUGACAGUAUAUUAUGCGGUUAUGGGUCGCUUUUUUUUAAGCGUUUAACCCAACGCAAGUUUUCAAGUUGUGUUUAGUAAUCGGACUCAGUGCCGAUUCUAAUCGCUUGUAGCUGUGGCGUUGGUGUUCUUGAACGGACCCUAUAAUAAAACCGAUCUGCAACGCUAUAGCUUUGGGUAAUUUCAGGACCCGUCUUGAAACACGGACCAAGGAGUCUAGCAUUUACGCAAGUCAUUGGGUUUAUUUACUAAACCCAUAGGCGUAAUGAAAGUAAAAAUCUUGCUUUUUAGAAGUAAAGAUCGAGGGAAGAUGAGUGACGUCACAUGUUUAAAAGUUACUUUUUAAGCGGACGUCUUCAGCAUUCCCGGGGCGUCUCAUUCUCAGUGCGAGAAGAGGCGCACCAAGAGCGAAAACGCUGGGACCCGAAAGUUGGUGAACUAUGCCUGGUCAGGACGAA
RNAcentral lists this ribosomal RNA (732 nucleotides) under Hapalogenius pusillus. RNAcentral describes it as "partial large subunit ribosomal RNA". It matches the Rfam family "Eukaryotic large subunit ribosomal RNA", at positions 400 to 850 of the family's 3401-position model. The record is from RNAcentral. Lineage: Eukaryota; Metazoa; Arthropoda; Insecta; Coleoptera; Curculionidae.